UUGGCUACAAUUCCUGUCUUCAGGUUUUGCCAACCUACAUCUGCUGGUCAUUCCCACAUCUAAACAGAGCAGCGCAUAGAUAUGUCACCCACCAACUUAUACCACCAACAACCACCACCCAGCCCCAAAUCCAGUUCCGGAGACAUCCACAUCCCGUUACUACCAUCGCUCACCACCGCUCUGCUUCGAAUCAACGUCACCUGCUAACAUCGAUCAACACCGCUCUACCCCAAAUCGAAAGGUCGCUGCUUUAUCUACUCUGUCAACCACAAACUAAGUGACGGUUUUUGUUAGACGAUUAGGGCUCCAACAGGUCAAAGAAAGAAAAGGACAUAAAAAAGUUGUUGUUCAUAAGCUUUAUGAUGCCUGUAGGGAGGUCAAAGGCGUUUGUUAAUUGUUGCUCAUCAGUUGUUUGAGAUGCUGAGGGUAUUCAACACCUGAAAGAUAUUUUAAAUAAGCCGGGUUUCAAAGAGGUGGUGGAGGGGGUGCUUGGAUCUCCUGUUAUGGAGGGCCCUCCCGAUGUUGUUUUGAUGAAGAAAUUGGGAAAGCUAGCAACGUUAUUCAAGGAAAUUUUCAGAUUUUUCAGAGACAAGUUCAUUGAAGGAUGUAAAGAGUGACCUCGGUUGAACUGUGUGGGCAUCAACCAAAUUUCGGACUCCGAAGCGACGGAUUUGGAAGCUGCUUUUUCGCGUCAAGAGAUUAUAGGAGCCGUUUUCGAGUGUGGUGAUGACCGGGCCCCAGGCCCUGACGGUAUUAAUUUUUGCUUUGUUAAAGAAUUUUGGAUUUAUUAGAAGAUUAUUUCUAUAGAAUUAUGAGUGUUUUUUAUGAGUCUGGUUUGGUUAGAAUGGGCUGUGGUUCUUCAUUUAUUGCGCUUAUUCCAAAAGUUAAGGAUCCGCAAAGCUUGAAAGAAUACCGACCUAUUAGUUUGGUUGGAAUUAUCAAUAAAGUUAUUUCAAAGAUUUUGGCCAAUAGGCUUAAAAGGGUGCUGGAUACAGUCAUAUCGUCGUCUCAGUCUGCGUUUCUUUGGGGUAGAUAUAUUUUGGAUGGGCCGCUUGUAAUUAACGAAAUUUAAAAUUGGGUUAGAAGAAGCAACAAAAAGGUUUUUAUGCUAAAGAUCGAUUUUGAAAAAAGCCUACGACAAUAUAAACUGGAACUUCGUGAUCGAUAUCCUCACUCAGAUGGGUUUCCCUAAUAGAUGGUGUAUGUGGGUUAAAGGUAUUAUUUCUUCGGCUAGGGCGCCAGUUUUAGUUAACGGGGCUCCAACUUUUGAAUUUAAGUGCGAAAAAGGUAUGCGUCAAGGGGACCCUAUCUCCCCAUUCCUCUUCGUUAUUGUG
Molecule: long non-coding RNA, 1334 nt
Filed under: Helianthus annuus (common sunflower)
Lineage: Eukaryota; Viridiplantae; Streptophyta; Magnoliopsida; Asterales; Asteraceae
Source: RNAcentral